RNAcentral lists this ribosomal RNA (564 nucleotides) under Triticum aestivum (bread wheat). RNAcentral describes it as "partial small subunit ribosomal RNA". The record is from RNAcentral. Lineage: Eukaryota; Viridiplantae; Streptophyta; Magnoliopsida; Poales; Poaceae.
UCAGCAAAAAGAGGAUCCAAAUUUUUUUACAAGAAAAAAUAUGAUGAGGAGGACAGGGUUGAGAAUAUUUUCUGGGUCGAUGGUGUAGCAAGGAAGGCCUAUGUGGAAUCUUAUCAUGAUUGCAUCUCCUUUGACACAACAUAUAUGACUAACAUGUACAACAUGUCCUUUGCACCAUUCAUUCGGAUUAACAGACAUGGGCAGUCAUUCAUGUUAGGAUGUGAUUUUGUUAGGCAAGAGUUGGCGUCAAGCUUUGUUUGGCUAUUCCAGACCUUCCUUGAGGCAAUGCAUAAUGUAGCACCCACCAACAUCAUAACCGACCAAUACAUCGCAAUGGCACAGUCAAUUAAAAAGAUCUUCCCUACAAGUGUGCAACGCUGUUAUCGCUGGCAUAUUAUGAAAAAAGCACAAGAGAAGCUUGGAGCAUUGUUGGGACGAAACCCUAGCUUGUACAAAGAUUUCAACAAUUGUGUUGACUUUAGCUUGAUGCUAGAGGAAUUUGAGGCAGGGUGGUUGCUACCUCUUGAGCUUGCGUUGGUUUUUCCCUUGAAGAGGAAAGGGUGA